GAUUAUUUGCUCUGUUAUUUCUGUUUUACUUGUCUUUUUUUUUUCAGUUUUAUGGUAAUAACUAUAAUGACCUCAUUUGAUUUGUCAGGCAGAAUAAGUGAGUAUGGAACAAAUAGAUGGGGUGCUUUGAAUUCUGACUUGAGGAAAAGAAAAUCCCAUUGUUUCUUUCCUUCUUUUGCACCCUUACCAACCUGGCAACCUGACAAGGCCAAUCACAGUGUGAGGUGGCCUUUCUCCGCUAUAGCCACACACCCCCACACCUGUCAUGGGGCCAAGUUCCCUCAGCUGAUGAAGGGCCACAACACCUUAUUUCCACAAGUGCAGUAAAAGUACAAAGACUUCUUGCUCUGCUACAUAUCAUGAAGGAAGGGUGGUCCCUUGAUCCUCCUGGAAAGCCGCUGAAAGAUUGGGUGACUGAGAGAAGGAUCCCAGAGUUGUCGGGUUUUUUUGUUUGUUUAUUUAUUUUCGUUUUUCUUCGCAAAUGCCUCUUUUUUUCCUCUUUUGCUUUGGCGUCUGUGGAAGAAGAUUUUUUGCAGAGACCAACUUUUUGCUGCUGUUUUUUAGACAUGAUGGAAAAAAAAAAAACCUUUAUAGACUCAUUAUGCUCAAAGCAUGCAUACUGACACAGGAUAUAGAUAAACACAGAAAACAAAUCAAACAUACACAUUUCAAAAAUGCUACACUUAAAGAAAAAAAAAGGAAAAAAAAAACUUUGUACAUGUAUAAAUAAGUGCAAAUGCCAACACAAGAACUGAAGCAAACUCAUGCGUGUGCGCACACACACAAAACAUACAAACACACACACCAGCCUGCUGCCAUUUUGGUUUUUGUGCCUACACAGGUGUUGUGCUCUGUGACAGGGCAAGCUCUGGAUCGAAGAAGAAAACAAGAAGAAAAGGAGAAAAGUGGAGAAUCCAGGAUAAUUUACAUGCAUCAUUCCUUAGGAAAUAGGGACCAAAGGACUAAACGCUUUUUAAAAGAAUAUAAAUAUAUAAAUAUAUAAAUAUAUAUUUAAAAACUCAUACCUUGUAGCUGCAAGUAUUACAAUUUACUCGUAGUAAAAAAACAAAAAAACAAAAACAUUAAAUCAAUAUCCAGUGGCCUACUGUAAGUAUGAAUAAAAGAACAUGGAAAUAAUGUAUAAAAAAAGACAUGGAAACGUAGUAUAGGGGCUGAUCUUUUGCUCUGGAUGCUGAUUUAGCACCAGGUUGUAGAGUAGUAGAGUAGACUAGAAAAAAAAAAGUGUAGAUUUGCUAACUUUUGCUGUUGUUUAAAAAAAUACUUGAAGUUGUAAUGAAAAUGGGGCAAAAGAGGGGUGGGAUGGUGUGGGGGGAAGCAUUCAUCUGCCCCUAAACGCAACAACUCUCUUUCUCUUGGAUGUUAACGUAUCAGCCACUGGAUAUCGCGCUCAUCAUUAUGUACAAGUCACCGCACUCUCUGACAGAUAUGGAGAUGAUCUUCUGGAAGAAAACAAAAGAAUAAGAAGAAAAAAAAGACUGACUUUACUGAUGUCUGUGCUGGACGGGGUGCAGAUGUUUAAGGCUUCACUGGCCUUUGUGUUCAAGCGACAAUCCACUGUAAAGACCAAGUAAAAUGGACAUGGGGUGUCUUUUUUUUUUGUUGUUGGCCUUUUUGUAUUGCUACAUGAAGUGUGAAAUAUGAAGCCACAAACUUCUAAAAGGAGAUGAUUAAAAGUGAGAUGGACAAAUGGAUGGUCAUGACCGAAAGAGUAAAGAGGGAAGGAGAAAAAAGUGAUAGCUAUUGUAACUGCCAGCAGAAUGUAUUUGGUUUAGUAAUGAAUUGGCUCUUGUGGUAUCAGCAUUCUCUCAAAAAAACAAAGUAUGCCCAUCAUAAGCAGCCACAAAUUUGAAUGACAUGUCAAGGAUAUGUGUGUGUCCACUGAAGCUGCUGCAAAACUCUAGACUGAGAAAAAUUCAUUCUUGUCUGUUGGCAAAUUUCUCUAAAGAUGAAUUCAAUUUACUUCUGUAUUGCAGGAAAGGAGUGCCGGCUUUUAGAGCACAUUUACCUGUGUAAUGUUAAUUCCACUGUUAACAUGCUCCCUGACCUGCGUAAUGUACACAUUAUUCAUAAAGUCCACGGUAAAAAAAAAAGUAGAGCUUAAUGGCCUCGAUCUAAGAUAAUUCUAACAGUCACUCUUAAAAUCAUUCAACUCAUCUUUAGCUACACUGACACUGAUGCCAGGCACUCCAGUAGUGUCGUGUCUUGAUUUAGAGUCCUGUAGCCUCUGUUUUUUAACAAUUUACAGCUCUGGAAGCAGGCUCCUCUCUAAAACCAGAUCAAUAUGUUUCGAGUGAGUCUAGGGGGAGGAGCGAUGCUGUUUCAGUCACCACGAGCACUUCCCAAUUUUCUCCGCCGAACACCAGCUCAAAUCCAUAUACCAGCCCUCUAAGCACUGACAGCUGGCAAGGCUAGACAGAAGCAAGGAGAGAGUGGGGAGAAGAGGGGAAGUCAAGAACUCAUCACACCGAGAUCCUUUAAGCUGAUGCUGGUAGGUGAUGCCACAUGAUUUAACCAAAAAAAAAUAGAAACCCUAAUCAAGCUCUGGUGGCAAACAGUAUACAUAAUCUAAUCAUAAUCUGUGUUAUAUGCUUUCAAAAGCAGAUUAAACAGUCAAGUAGGACCUCAAGUUAAUACUUUAGGCACCAGUCCAACGAGCUCAUGUUAAGUAAUGAGAGUCUUCUUCUCCCUCUUUUUUGUUGAACUAGAAAAUCAGACCAGAAUUGGUCCAAAUCACUAAAGAAGGGACUGAUUAAAUGUGCCAGCAGAUUUCAUAGUUUUUAAUAUACUGCCUUUGCCACUUAAAAAAAAGCUGAAGGUACUAAUUUCAGCCCUUGAUAUUAACAUUCCACGUAGCACUUCCUUUUCUCCCGUCCUUAGAGCAGCCAUGCCUUUCUAAAUCACGGCACAAUUGUUUAGCGGCUCUCCCGUUGGAGCAGCAUUUUCGAACCUACCUAAUGCCUGUGCUCACUACCCUUCAAUUAUCUCUUGCACCACAUUAGACAUGCUAUUUCACCUUUCUCCCUAAUCACACUGUAAUCAUCAGCCUCUAUACAUUAGCAGCAACCAAGUGAAAAAUCACUGGGAUAAUCACUUGGACCAAAUGACGGGAGAGAUGGUCCCCUGCAUGCACAUGGAUGACAGAAGGAAGAUUAGGGAGAAUUAUGUUUGCGCCUACUCCCUGGCAAGGCUGGUGACAGCUGACCUGGCACCAAUAAUGUAGCCGAAUUUACCGAAGAGGCAAUGCAGGAUGAGGGAUAAAACCUUCCAUAUCAUAGCAAGGUUUUAAUGUUCCAGAGUAAUUUGACCAAAAACUAAAAGAGAAGGGCAGGUAGCAAAAUUGAUUUAGUUUUUGUUUUCUAUCACAAACAUUGCAGCAAUAGUUGCUUAAAACUGGGUCAAAUCCAACAUUUUUUACUAGAAAUCCUCAAUUCUGUUACUGUUCAGCUGCAGUGAGGCCUGUUGUUGUGAAUUUUCUUUCAGCAGCAACACUGCAUCUCAGAAGAUGAUGCCUGCAAGUUAUAGCCUCAUUCAUAUAUAUAUAUAUAUAUAUAUAUAUAUAUAUAUAUAUAUAUAUAUAUAUAUAUAUAUAUAUAUAUAUAUAGAUAUAGAUAUAUAUAGAUAUAUAUAGAUAUAUAUAGAUAUAUAUAUAUAAUCUAUAUAGAUGGUUGAAUGAGGUAUGGUUGAAUAUAUACCAGCUCUUAAGGACUUCUUAAGGAUUGCCUUUAAAUACUGUAAGAUAAAACCCAGCCCUCCCUCUGUCAUUUCAUUUGACAUGUGUUACUGAUAGAAGGAGCUUUGUGAAUUAAUGUGAAGUAAGUAAAAACAAAGCCAUGUUCUACAAACCAUUUAUGCUCAUUAUUUAAGUGAAGCUGAACUAAUCAAUGGGAAAUCUAAUGUUCCAUGAGCAAUGCAAUAUCCUCUGCUUGUCUUGGCCAUCUCUAGAAUACAUUUCCAACACGAACCUUGCAUGGUUGAUCCUGUAAUCUUUUCUGUCUUAUACCAGAUGCUGUACUAGUUCCCACUACUAAUGGCAGGUUGAGUCCCCAGUGAGCCAAAACUCAGCCUAGCCUAGUAUCCUGCUGUCUGCUUGGCUAACAGUGCAGCGAUCAUGUAGCAUAUCUGCUAUGCCAGGGCUAAAUUAGGCAAUGUGAAAUCAGUACUUCAACAUUUUUAAAACGGGUGCUCCUAUUACAUUUACACUCCAGGGAGAAUGUUGCUGAAGUGUUGUGCAUUAAAAGCAGAAAUAGCUGUGAAACACUAGAAUUGCACUGAAACUACCAAAAUGAGGAAAAAAAUAGAAAGAAAAUAGAUCUUCUCAUUACCAUUUAUUAAAGAGGCUCUUGCCUGAUUUGCCCUUAGCCUGGACUGGAGACAAGAGCAGACUGAGGCUAUGUUUCACCUCUAAAAUCACAGACAAAUGUCAACCCAGCAGGCACACUACCAAGCUGUUGCCAAACUGUGAUUUGAUAUUUGCCGUCCAGCUUACAAAAAGAAAAUGCAACUAAGCGUUUUUGCCAAAAGAAAUACAUAAGAUUUGAAUAAGUUCUUAGAAUAUAAUAUUUAGCAUGCUAGGCAAAAGAAAAAAUAUAUAUGUGAACAUGAAAAAGUAUAAAUAUCUCCAAAGAGGUAAAGCUUAUCUUCUCUAUCUUCUCAUACUGCACUGCCUUUAUUUGCCAUUUUUCAAUCAGUGAUGAGCAAAAGUAAUACUUAGGUAUAGUCAGUUCUUUGUGAGCAUUUAAACCAUUUGCCUCUGGCUUAUGCACCUAAAAAUUUGGAGGUUAUAUAGUAUGAAGUAAGCCCCUUUCCUCAGUUGCCACUACACCACUUUUCACAAGAUCUGUCUGCUUAAGGAGCAUGUAUCCUUAGAGGUUCCCAGCCAAUGGCAGGGCAGAGCACAAGUCUGUUUGAGAAUGAAUCUCCCACCCCUGGGUGCAUAACACUCACCCUAAAAUAGCAGUGAUUGUCAAGGAAAGGAAGUGAAAUGUAAUUGACUGAAAGUGGAGCGAUAAUUAAAGGAACCUGUUGGACAGGAGGGAAGAAAUUAAUGCUUCUCAUUUAAUAGCUGCUUUGGGAGAAAGCUUUUUCAGCAUCUUGGUUUAACGCAGUGAGGGUUUGCUGUGGAAAUGAGAUUUUGUAUUGAAAAAGGUAGCAAUGGAAAUAGUGGAAGCAGGCACUGGGUGGUGGGGGUGCUGUGUGCUUAACUGAAACUCCACAAAAUCACUCCCAAUACUCAGGGCAUCAGGGACUAUGAUGUCAUGAUUAGUGGAGAGGUUCAGAGCCUUGCCUUACCCCUUAUCCUGAAGGCAUUUGAGAAGAUAAAUAUGAGGACAGCAGAAGCUGUACGAUCACAUGUCACUGUGGGGUGUCCUGAGCCAGCAGAAGGGCUGAUGAACCACCUAAUAUUGUGCUUUGGAUUUAUAGUAUUACCAUCCCAUUCAAAGAGAAACAAAGAAACACAAAAGAUGCCAUUAUCAACCCAACACUGCACAGUGGUUUGCUGAAGGUAUGAAAUUAUGUUCAGAAACAUGUCUGAAAGAAAUGAAGACAAAGACUUUUUUUAAUUUCUUAAUGUAAAUAGACUAUAAAAUACAAAAAAACAGAGGAAGGGUGUACAGCAACUUGUGUUGAGAAGUCCAACUCUGUGGGACAAUGAUGUCAAUAUAAAAUGUAUCCACAGCAGUGCAGGGAUUUAGGAGAGUUUUAGUCCUUAUAAGCCCCUUCGGUUUGGGCUGUGAACAUGCAUCCUACAACUCUAAGUGUCUGGCCAAGGCUUAGAGAGUAUUUGACUUAGUGUCAAACCUAAGCCAUGGCCCUGAAGUGAUCCGGUAAUUAAGAUUCUGUGUACACCGACAUGUCAUGAUUUUUCUGACAGAAGAAAGAUUGCCUGUGCCGUAAUUGGAUUAGUCCAGUUGGGGCUGAUGAACAGAUAUGACACUGACAGUAGAGUUCAUCCAUCUGCAUGCUUUCCGCUUGACAGUGUGAAAAAAACCAUCAGCCAGCACCACUCUUUUUUAAAUUCUUUGGAAGUAAAAGUUGAGGCUUUACAGCAUUUAAGACGCUAGUUUUAGAAAAUAAAACUCCAGGUUACAGUGUGUUCAACAUGUACAUAAACCAUUUUGGAAUCAAACAUUUAAUACACAUGGUUUAAAAUAUACGAACACAGUUAGGUUGAGUUUAGAGGAAGGGGACAAACAAGAGAACUAUGUUGAUCCCAGCAGAACCCCCUGCUUGCUUGACCCAGUCUGACACUGCUCUCCUGACCACACAGCUGCAUUACACCUGUACAUACAAUAUAGCUUAUUUUUCAAUUCUGUUAAACAUUCUUUAUAGGCCGUACAAUAGAUCAUGUUCAAACAGAAAAAAAGAAAGAAUAGUUAAUAUAUUUCAGUGAAACUAAGAAAAGGAACCUAUGAAAUAAUUUAUCAAAAACAGAAGAUAAAAUGAUUUUAUUUCUUGUAGAGUGAAGCACGGAUGUUCAGAAAUGGGAUUUUAUACUCAUGUUUGAAAAUACGUCUUUAUUUUCUCUCUUUUGUUUUGUUAUUAUCGGUUGAAGCUGGGAUAGACCCAUUGUCAUGAGGUUUAUUCAGAUGUGCUUUGAUCAUUGUUCUUUUUUUUCCAUUUAAUUUUUUUGGCUGCACAAUCCCUGUGUAAAAUCCCUUGUGGAUUGGAAAGUUCAAAGAGAUUUUGUUCAAUGAAAGCUCUUACAUCAAUACAAGAAUUAGCAAACUGCACUGUAAAAGGAUGAUUGAUGGUACUGGUUUUGUGGAUUCAGAAAAAAGGGUUCUUUGCACAACUGAGGUUAAAAGGAUCAGAAUUGUAUGUUCAAACGCAAUUUUAUUUUUUGGACCUUUUGUUGUUUUAAGAAAAAAAAAUCAAACUUUGCCAUCAGAUUGUUUUGGGGACUUAUGCUGCCAUAUGUCAUUAUGUUUAAGCCAUUGUUGCUUUCCUGUAAUGAAGUUCUCUCUAUGUCCUUUUCUUGCCUUGUAUUUUGAAGGGUUAAUUGCAUUUAUUGACCUGAUUUUCAUAUCUUUUUUUGUUCAUGGGACAGUUCUUCCACAGGUUGUUAUCUGAUGUGACACCAUCCACUGAAGACAUUGUGCCAAAAGUAGAUCACGCUGCUUUUCUCCAGUUUUUUGGUUUGUUAUGCGAGGAGGAAAUUCUGCCUUAAACCCAGCCUGUUCUCUCUGACAGUACUACCUGUGAACAGUGGUCAGACACGCUGUAUUCUGGGGAUGCCAAAUGUUCUUCGAAACAAACACUCUGCCAGAAUCAGUUUUGCCUCAAGCUCAUUCUGACACAAAUAAGGAUGCGGUCAUCCAUUACCAUUUCCAUUGGUUACAAGGACCAAAAUGUAAACAAACUCAGAUAACUGAGAAGUUUGCUCCAAUCAAGCAUUCAAAUGAGAGCCUUUAAAGUGUUCGUAUUUAGUCAUAGGCAAUUUUGCACCAUGAAGAUUUUUACCAUGAAUCAUUGCAUUCCCAGCUUCACAGUCUAAUUUCACUGUUGUUAUUCAUUGCCAUAAAAACUCACAAUCUAUUUAGGUAUUUAAAUUUACAGUGAAUGAAAAAAAAACCUCAUUUAUUUUGUUGGUUUUUUUUGUCUUGAACAAUCUGAGUUACUGUUUUCUUUCUUUUCGUUUGAAACAGAGAUGUAAUUUGAAUUAGCAUUGGCUCUGGUCCGUUUCCCUGAUUCAGGAUGAUAUUUCCCAUAGUGCUCCUGAACUCUGUAGUUCUCUAGUUCAUUAUAUUCUGCUUAGACUAAAAUAAAGCACAGUCCUGUAGAAGA
Long non-coding RNA from Astatotilapia calliptera (eastern happy), 7806 nucleotides. NCBI's taxonomy places the organism in Eukaryota, Metazoa, Chordata, Actinopteri, Cichliformes, Cichlidae. The record is from Ensembl.